This 382-nucleotide RNase P RNA is filed under the name Prevotella sp. RNAcentral's name for it is "RNase P RNA component class A". It matches the Rfam family "Bacterial RNase P class A". From Rfam's summary of the family: Ribonuclease P (RNase P) is a ubiquitous endoribonuclease, found in archaea, bacteria and eukarya as well as chloroplasts and mitochondria. Its best characterised activity is the generation of mature 5'-ends of tRNAs by cleaving the 5'-leader elements of precursor-tRNAs. Lineage: Bacteria; Pseudomonadati; Bacteroidota; Bacteroidia; Bacteroidales; Prevotellaceae. The record is from RNAcentral.
GCAGAGUCUUGGUUCUGUCGUUUGCCUUUAAAAGAAGGCAAAAGGAAAGUCCGGGCAGCGUAGAGCGUUUCGCUUUUGAAAGUAAAAGCUACUAGUAAUAGUAGGUUAUGGUAGAAGAAAAUAACCGCCAUCGCAAGGUGGUAAGGGUGAGAAGGUAGUGUAAGAGACUACCAGCAGGCGGGUGAUCGUCUGGCUGUACCGUUCAGGAGCUGCAAGUUCAUGUAAACCGUUGUUUGAGGGCUGCCCGCCCAAGCGUUAGCACAACGGAGGGUAGAAUGCUUGAGUUACAAGGUGACUUGUAAACUAGAUAAAUGACAGGCAUCUUCCUAUUUAUCGAAAGAUGAGGAAGAGACGGAACCCGGCUUAUAGGAACACUGCUUUA